RNAcentral lists this long non-coding RNA (792 nucleotides) under Felis catus (domestic cat). RNAcentral describes it as "lncRNA (ENSFCAG00000052331.1)". The record is from RNAcentral. Lineage: Eukaryota; Metazoa; Chordata; Mammalia; Carnivora; Felidae.
GGGCCCCAUAUGCCCAUUUGCAUUGGGCCCUGCAAGUUUCGUCACCAGACCUGCGGAGAACGGGAGCCGGCUCGUAAUCGGAGGGCGAGAAAAGUGAGCUCUUGUCAUUAUUGUCUAACGCAUGUGGGCCACGUGGCGUCGCGCGUCUGGCAGGCCUUUUCACAGCUUGGCAUAUGAAGGUGAAAGGCCUUCUCUAUUUCGGGUGCUCCCGGGCCUUAUAAGGCUCCCUCCGGCUUAAUAGGGGCGCUCACGGUGACCGAAGACCAAUUCAGUCGUGGAGAUGACAGGCAUCGUCCAGUCUGAGCCUUUCAACGACCACUUUCUGGCAAGCAGCGAGGCCCUAAGUCUUGACUCGCAUCCCCGACCCCACCUGAGAGAAGAAUGUAGGGCAGGCCCUGUGGAAAGUGGUUUGCUUUAGUCCAGCUAAGCAAUUUAACAUCGAGACAAGGAAGAGAUUGUUGCUUGCACAUGCAGGUUUUUUCUACGGAGGCGAAAUAUGAUGAUAUUAUUUAUUCAUCAUAUGUACCCUCACCUGUUCCAAAAGGGACCGGAGGCUGCCACAAAAUGAAAUCGAGUUCUCCGACUCAAACUCGGAAUUCUCUUACUGCAGAAAAAGGCUACUUCAUCUUCCCACAUGGACAAUGCAAGAAAUGUUCGAGCGUGCACACUGUUUCGUUACCAUCAGGCAGAGGGACAUUGGUUCUUCACAUGAAAUUGUUGGCCGGCAAUAUAAAUUUACUUUCUAGUAGAUCCCCUCAAGCAGGCAUGAUAUCAUUCAUAUAUCUUAAAUAA